GACGAACGCUGGCGGCGUGCUUAACACAUGCAAGUCGAACGGAAAGGCCCUGCUUUUGUGGGGUGCUCGAGUGGCGAACGGGUGAGUAACACGUGAGUAACCUGCCCUUGACUUUGGGAUAACUUCAGGAAACUGGGGCUAAUACCUGAUAGGAGCUCCUGCUGCAUGGUGGGGGUUGGAAAGUUUCGGCGGUUGGGGAUGGACUCGCGGCUUAUCAGCUUGUUGGUGGGGUAGUGGCUUACCAAGGCUUUGACGGGUAGCCGGCCUGAGAGGGUGACCGGCCACAUUGGGACUGAGAUACGGCCCAGACUCCUACGGGAGGCAGCAGUGGGGAAUAUUGCACAAUGGGCGGAAGCCUGAUGCAGCAACGCCGCGUGCGGGAUGACGGCCUUCGGGUUGUAAACCGCUUUCGCCUGUGACGAAGCGUGGGUGACGGUAAUGGGUAAAGAAGCACCGGCUAACUACGUG
This 468-nucleotide ribosomal RNA is filed under the name uncultured bacterium. RNAcentral's name for it is "partial 16S ribosomal RNA". It matches the Rfam family "Bacterial small subunit ribosomal RNA", at positions 28 to 507 of the family's 1533-position model. The record is from RNAcentral.